RNAcentral lists this ribosomal RNA (490 nucleotides) under uncultured bacterium. RNAcentral's name for it is "partial 16S ribosomal RNA". It matches the Rfam family "Bacterial small subunit ribosomal RNA", at positions 30 to 507 of the family's 1533-position model. The record is from RNAcentral.
AUUGAACGCUGGCGGCAGGCCUAACACAUGCAAGUCGAACGGUAACAGGAAGAAGCUUGCUUCUUUGCUGACGAGUGGCGGACGGGUGAGUAAUGUCUGGGAAACUGCCUGAUGGAGGGGGAUAACUACUGGAAACGGUAGCUAAUACCGCAUAACGUCGCAAGACCAAAGAGGGGGACCUUCGGGCCUCUUGCCAUCGGAUGUGCCCAGAUGGGAUUAGCUAGUAGGUGGGGUAACGGCUCACCUAGGCGACGAUCCCUAGCUGGUCUGAGAGGAUGACCAGCCACACUGGAACUGAGACACGGUCCAGACUCCUACGGGAGGCAGCAGUGGGGAAUAUUGCACAAAGGGCGCAAGCCUGAUGCAGCCAUGCCGCGUGUAUGAAGAAGGCCUUCGGGUUGUAAAGUACUUUCAGCGGGGAGGAAGGGAGUAAAGUUAAUACCUUUACUCAUUGACGUUACCCGCAGAAGAAGCGCCGGCUAACUCCGUG